RNAcentral lists this microRNA (21 nucleotides) under Cordylochernes scorpioides. The record is from RNAcentral. Lineage: Eukaryota; Metazoa; Arthropoda; Arachnida; Pseudoscorpiones; Chernetidae.
GUAGGCUGGUGACGAGGAGAG